GCGUGUCAACCCUUUCGGGAGCGUCAGGGCCGAUCAUCUCCGAAAUCCCUGCAGGUCCUGCUCGAGGAGAGGCGUCUCGGGUUGGCAUGAGCCAGAGGACGAUCCCGAGUCUUCCAGGAUCCUUUUUAUUGCGAGUCGUGGAUCUUUAAGAGGACCAGGGAGAGGAAGGACGAGGACACCUGCUCCUCCGCCGCCUUCUAUGCCCAUUGACGGGUUGAAAUAUGAAGGUCCCUAGGGAUGGCCGAAGGCAGGACACCUGGACCUGUCCCGGCCUCAAUGGAAGGUCCUCCACGGGGCGGAGAGGACCUCCGCCCUCCCCCUGCCCCUGGAAAGCGUCUAAUGCUUCCCGAGGGGCUUUCGCGAGGAUUCCGUCGCGAAAACGCGAUCCUAGACAUCCUGCGGAGUUGGGAGAGCCUCUCGCAGGACCCCGAGUCCCUCGAAAAAUAUUCUCCUCACCUCCGGUCACGAUGUCCUGCACUAAGGAUGUGAAUGAAAAAAAGAGAGGAUAUUUAAUUCCCCAGACUCUGGACAAAUUUGAGGAAUCCUGUGAAAUAUGACGCGUCUUCGGGUCACUUGGAAAGGACUCGCCGACAAAGGGGCACCCAGGGAGUCCCAUGGGACGAUCCUUCGCGUGCUAAAAAUCGUUAAUCGUUCUGGUAAUCAUUCGAGGAGGUGCAGGAGCCUCGGAAGGACAAAUUCGAAGGAUUUUCCGGAAGGUGACGGGACGGGAUCGAAAAAAAAUCUUUCGGGAAGGACGAGGAACCGCAUGCAACCGACCGCGAGGACUCCAGGAGGCUGUCUCGUCGUCGACGAAUUUCUCGACACAAUGACGGAGCGACUCCUUUGACGGCGACGAAUGGGUGGAAACGUACCCCAUCAUUUGACGUUGAAUGCAGCGGAACACAUUGACGCGUCUUCUGACGUUUUAAUAAUGCCUCCGGAUUCGGGCACGCGGAAAAUGCCGUUUCGGGACCAUUUUUGGCAAAUUUUUACGCCCCUGAUGAUCGCCGCUUAACGGUGGAAGGAAAAUCCAUGACGAACAUUUUCUUUCUUCCGAAGGUCCAUCCAAGCGAAUGGACACUUAAUACGGACUCGAUGACAUCCUCGCAGGACCUCGAUCGAGAGCCUGACGAAUCCUGGCCGGGCUUGAAGAAAUUUACGGAGGUCCCAGGUAGGGGAGGACGUCUCGGUCGAUUUCAAGGAUCCAAGGAUCUCUCCUUGUGUUUCCUCGACCGGAUGCCGCCGGUCAACCCCUCGACAGGGGGUCGGCAAGGUGCAUCGGAGUAGCUGGAUUUUCCUCUCGGUACCGGAAGUGCAACCUCGUUGGUGACUCGUUUCAUCCCCUGCGGGGUAGAGACGGGGAAUGAAAACCCACAAGCAAGGGGGUUGAAUGGGAGUGACCUUGACAAAACAUCCCGGCCGCGAAUGAGGCCGUUGAGCCGCGAGA
Long non-coding RNA from Orussus abietinus, 1447 nucleotides. RefSeq lists it as uncharacterized. The transcript is spliced from 3 exons. The record is from RefSeq and is a predicted model, not a curated record. NCBI's taxonomy places the organism in Eukaryota, Metazoa, Arthropoda, Insecta, Hymenoptera, Orussidae.